UACGAAGGGGGCUAGCGUUGCUCGGAAUCACUGGGCGUAAAGCGCACGUAGUCGGCUUUGCAAGUCGGUUGUGAAAUCCCCGGGCUCAACCUGGGAACUGCAUCCGAGACUGCAUUGCUAGAGUAUGGGAGAGGAAAGCGGAAUUUCUGGUGUAGCAGUGAAAUGCGUAGAUAUCAGAAGGAACAUCAGUGGCGAAGGCGGCUUUCUGGACCAAUACUGACGAUCAGGUGCGAAAGCGUGGGGAGCAAACAGG
RNAcentral lists this ribosomal RNA (253 nucleotides) under uncultured bacterium. RNAcentral describes it as "partial 16S ribosomal RNA". It matches the Rfam family "Bacterial small subunit ribosomal RNA", at positions 524 to 776 of the family's 1533-position model. The record is from RNAcentral.